GACGAACGCUGGCGGCGUGCCUAAUACAUGCAAGUAGAACGCUGAAGGAGGAGCUUGCUUCUCUGGAUGAGUUGCGAACGGGUGAGUAACGCGUAGGUAACCUGCCUGGUAGCGGGGGAUAACUAUUGGAAACGAUAGCUAAUACCGCAUAAGAGUAGAUGUCGCAUGACAUUUGCUUAAAAGGUGCAAUUGCAUCACUACCAGAUGGACCUGCGUUGUAUUAGCUAGUUGGUGAGGUAACGGCUCACCAAGGCAACGAUACAUAGCCGACCUGAGAGGGGGAUCGGCCACACUGGGACUGAGACACGGCCCAGACUCCUACGGGAGGCAGCAGUAGGGAAUCGUCGGCAAUGGACGGAAGUCUGACCGAGCAACGCCGCGGGAGUGAAGAAGGGUUUCGGAUCGUAAAGCUCUGUUGUAAGAGAAGAACGAGUGUGAGAGUGGAAAGUUCACACUGUGACGGUAUCUUACCAGAAAGAGACGGCUAACUACGUG
RNAcentral lists this ribosomal RNA (495 nucleotides) under uncultured bacterium. RNAcentral's name for it is "partial 16S ribosomal RNA". It matches the Rfam family "Bacterial small subunit ribosomal RNA", at positions 28 to 507 of the family's 1533-position model. The record is from RNAcentral.